UUAGAGGUUGCUAGCUUUUAACCCCUCCGAGCCUGGAGGGGACACAGAACAAACAAAUAAAUAAAAGAAAAGAAAAGAAACCACAAGACAUAAUGGGAAUGAGGCAUUCCUUUACACCUACCCAUAGAAAACUGAUACAUAUGAACAUUGCUAAAGAUCUGGGUGACUUUGAAAACCCAACAUCAGGACUUUGAUAAAGGGCAAGCUGAGGGCAAAUAGAACGGCACAUAGAUCAAGCAAGAUUCAGGGAGUGUUAAGACAAAACCAAAGCAAAAUCAGCAGGAGAAACAACAAACAAGAAUCAUAGCAUUACCAAAGAGCUCUCAACAUGAAUCAUCAACCCACCUGUCAUCAGCCUCUUCCUCUGCCCUUUCACAGGAAAGCUUGGAGGCUAGGACUAGGACCUGAAAGAUCAUAAGGCAGAAGACUUCCUGAGACUCAGCAGAUUUGUGACUGGAUCAGAGAUAACCUGGGAAACCUUUGUACCCUGCAUUGUAUUUCACAGAGGAAAGGUAGAAUGUAAUGUAAUAAUUAAAGAAGCACAGAGUCUCAAGCCAGCUUGCAUUGCAAGGCAUUGCAGGACUAAGUUAUGAUUUCUGAUCUUCCAUUGCUACUG
Long non-coding RNA from Hemicordylus capensis (graceful crag lizard), 616 nucleotides. RefSeq lists it as uncharacterized. The transcript is spliced from 2 exons. The record is from RefSeq and is a predicted model, not a curated record. Lineage: Eukaryota; Metazoa; Chordata; Lepidosauria; Squamata; Cordylidae.